RNAcentral lists this ribosomal RNA (193 nucleotides) under Staphylococcus saprophyticus. Its description in RNAcentral is "partial 23S ribosomal RNA". It matches the Rfam family "Bacterial large subunit ribosomal RNA", at positions 1 to 191 of the family's 2925-position model. The record is from RNAcentral. Lineage: Bacteria; Bacillati; Bacillota; Bacilli; Caryophanales; Staphylococcaceae.
GAUUAAGUUAUUAAGGGCGCACGGUGGAUGCCUUGGCACUAGAAGCCGACGAAGGACGUUACUAACGACGAUAUGCUUUGGGGAGCUGUAAGUAAGCUUUGAUCCAGAGAUUUCCUAAUGGGGAAACCCAGCACGAGUUAUGUCGUGUUAUCGAUAUGUGAAUACAUAGCAUAUCUGAAGGCAGACGCGGAGA